RNAcentral lists this ribosomal RNA (563 nucleotides) under uncultured bacterium. Its description in RNAcentral is "bacterial SSU rRNA". It matches the Rfam family "Bacterial small subunit ribosomal RNA", at positions 338 to 916 of the family's 1533-position model. The record is from RNAcentral.
CCUACGGGAGGCAGCAGUAAGGAAUUUUCGUCAAUGGGGGAAACCCUGAACGAGCAACGCCGCGUGGAGGAUGACGGUCUUCGGAUUGUAAACUCCUUUUAUGAGGGACGAUAAUGACGGUACCUCAGGAAUAAGCCCCGGCUAACUCUGUGCCAGCAGCCGCGGUAAUACAGAGGGGGCAAGCGUUGUCCGGAAUUACUGGGCGUAAAGAGCACGUAGGCGGUCGCGCAAGUGGUGUGUGAAACCAAUCAGCUUAACUGAUUGACGCCAUGCCAAACUGCGCGACUCGAGUCAUGGAGAGGUUAUUCGAAUUGCUGGUGUAGUGGUGAAAUGCGUAGAGAUCAGCAGGAAGACCAAGGGCGAAAGCAGAUAACUGGCCAUGCACUGACGCUCAGGUGCGAAAGCGUGGGGAGCAAACUGGAUUAGAUACCCAGGUAGUCCACGCUGUAAACGAUGUAUGCUCGGUAUGUGUGCCUGUUAAGGGCAUGGGUACCUUAGGAAACCCGGUAAGCAUACCGCCUGGGAAGUACGAACGCAAGUUUAAAACUCAAAGGAAUUGACGG